CGUUGUUGCUGUUUUUUGUUAUUUUUUUAUGCAGCUAUUUCUUCUUUUGUUGUUAAUGUAAAAUUUUAUAUUUUUUUUCAUUAAAGGUUGAACUGUCGGCUAACCAAACCAAAGAAAUGAACAUCAUAAUUUGUGUAAAAGAUGAAUUGGCGCAACAAAUAUAAUAAGUUUUAUAUCAAACAAUAUUUUCAAACGAUAAAAAUUGGCGCCAUCUGAUUAACUUUACCGACAAAAUGGCGCAAGCAAACCUUAUAAAAUGUUGUCAUUCUUUUACCACGACUAUACACACGAACAUGGAGAGGAGAUGAGAGAAGAAGGGUGAAUCAUCUGUAUAUAAUAAUACUGACGACCGUACACAAUUUUUUUGAGCAAAUCUCCAGCAAAGUUCCGAGAAAUAUAUGUGCCACAGAAAUUUAAUCAAAACCAAAUUCCAGCAUGGAAAAAAGGAAUACAAAAUAUCAUCCAACCACAAAUACACACAAACGUACCUACUCACAAGAAAACAUAAGAUAGUGUUUCUUUGUCAUCAUGCUAGCGCAUACAAAAGCCGACCAGGCACAAAAGAAUCCCUGAAGGUAGGUAAUUAUGGAAAGAUGUGCGGGAGGCAGAAGUGGCUUCAACAUAGACCAAAAAAUUCAAUGAGAUUGUGAACUUUUACUGACGAAUGCGCCUUGCAAAAAAAAAAAAACAAAAAAAUUAAACCAGAUUAAAAAAAGACAACUUAAAUAGAAACGGAAAAGGCGGUGUUAUCCAUUCGGACGUGGUCGCAAGGAAGAAGAUAAAUAUACCAUAUACCCAUAUGAUCAUAUAGCAACAUAUACGCACGUACUAUGUAUUUUCCAAUUUAUGGAUAAGGAACCAUCGCGCCACCGUUUCUUAAAAUAAGAAACAAAGGCAUUGCCUUCUUCAACAAAAAUCAACUAUUUCGUGUGUAACUUUCUAAGAUACAUGAUGGCACAAUCGACAAAUGCAGCACCAUUCAGUAAGACGCAGUUCUAAUUGGUUAUGCGUCGCACUGUAAAGCAGCAACAGCUAGCACCAAUGUCAGGGUACCAACCUAUCAACUACCCUCAGAUUAAGGAUUUUGGUAUUUUAUAUAACACUAUUAUAUAUAGUAUAAUAUAUAGUAUAACACUAUUUAUCCAAAGCCAGCGUUACCGUUAAGCGACUUUAGUAGCUAUUAGCGACCUUUUUGAAGCCUUAGCGACCAAGCGACGACUUUUUAUUUAAAGCGACCUUUUCACUAAUUUCGUAAUAGCGACUUUUUUUUUUCUUUCUAAAAAUUGUAUUUCUUUUUUAAUUCUGAACAUUUAGAGCUUCAAAUUUGUGUUUCUUUUUUCGUUCUGAACGUAUUCUGAGCUAGUUCAGAGCACCAUCGAUGGACUCAGAAUAAAAUAACUGAGCAGAACGAGUUGAAUGCUGAAGGCUGAACAAAAGCAUUUAGCAAGUGAAAUUGAAAAAAUUUCAAACAAAUAAAAUAAUGGCGUAAGAGUGCAGUAGUCGUUCUAGUUUUUUAUUUUUAUUUAACCCUUUUGAACCCAGCGUUACUCUCAUGUAACAUAUUUUUAAAAAUUCGUAAAAAAUAUUCCAUUAAAUAUUUUUUUAGGUUUCGAUGGCUUAAUUGAAAGAUAAUAAUGCCUAUUUAUUUAUUUAAUAUGUUAAAUGCUUACAUUAGAAAUAAACUUGAAUACUAACAAUGGAAUUAUUAAACUACUGGAUUAUUACAAAAAUUUAGUCAAAUAUCAUACCUUUAAUUUUUGUUAAUCGAAAAAGGGACUGAUAUUCACAUUUUUUUCUUUUUUUUUGCAAACAUUUUUUUUUAUA
Molecule: long non-coding RNA, 1824 nt
Organism: Episyrphus balteatus (marmalade hoverfly)
Lineage: Eukaryota; Metazoa; Arthropoda; Insecta; Diptera; Syrphidae
Exons: 4
Source: RefSeq, a predicted model, not a curated record